Non-coding RNA from Triticum urartu, 135 nucleotides. NCBI's taxonomy places the organism in Eukaryota, Viridiplantae, Streptophyta, Magnoliopsida, Poales, Poaceae. The record is from Rfam.
CACAUACUUCCUCCGUCCGAAGAAACUUGUCAUCAAAAUGGACAAAAAGUGAUGUAUCUAAAACUAAAAUACAUCUAGAUACAUCCCCUUUUAUUCAUUUUGAUGACAAGUAUUUUCGAACGAAGGGAGUAUCUG